Molecule: ribosomal RNA, 492 nt
Filed under: uncultured bacterium
Lineage: Bacteria
Description: partial 16S ribosomal RNA
Rfam family: Bacterial small subunit ribosomal RNA
Source: RNAcentral
AUUGAACGCUGGCGGCAUGCUUUACACAUGCAAGUCGAGCGGUAACAGGCCUUCGGGUGCUGACGAGUGGCGAACGGGUGAGUAAUGCAUCGGAACGUACCCAGAGGUGGGGGAUAACGCAGCGAAAGCUGUGCUAAUACCGCAUGUGAUCUGAGGAUGAAAGCGGGGGACCGAGCAGCAAUGUUUGGCCUCGCGCCUUUGGAGCGGCCGAUGUCGGAUUAGCUAGUUGGUGGGGUAAAGGCCUACCAAGGCGACGAUCCGUAGCUGGUCUGAGAGGACGACCAGCCACACUGGGACUGAGACACGGCCCAGACUCCUACGGGAGGCAGCAGUGGGGAAUUUUGGACAAUGGGCGCAAGCAUGAUCCAGCAAUGCCGCGUGCGGGAAGAAGGCCUUCGGGUUGUAAACCGCUUUUGGCAGGAACGAAACGGUGUCCGCUAAUACCGGGCGCUAAUGACGGUACCUGCAGAAUAAGCACCGGCUAACUACGUG